Molecule: ribosomal RNA, 484 nt
Filed under: uncultured bacterium
Lineage: Bacteria
Description: partial 16S ribosomal RNA
Rfam family: Bacterial small subunit ribosomal RNA
Source: RNAcentral
AUUGAACGCUGGCGGCAGGCCUAACACAUGCAAGUCGAGCGGAUGAAGGGAGCUUGCUCCUGGAUUCAGCGGCGGACGGGUGAGUAAUGCCUAGGAAUCUGCCUGGCCGUGGGGGAUAACGUCCGGAAACGGGCGCUAAUACCGCAUACGUCCUGAUGUAGAAAGUGGGGGAUCUUCGGACCUCACGCUAUCAGAUGAGCCUAGGUCGGAUUAGCUAGUUGGUGAGGUAAAGGCCUACCAAGGCGACGAUCCGUAACUGGUCUGAGAGGAUGAUCAGUCACACUGGAACUGAGACACGGUCCAGACUCCUACGGGAGGCAGCAGUGGGGAAUAUUGGACAAUGGGCGAAAGCCUGAUCCAGCCAUGCCGCGUGUGUGAAGAAGGUCUUCGGAUUGUAAAGCACUUUAAGUUGGGAGGAAGGGCAGUAAGUUAAUACCUUGCUGUUUUGACGGUACCAACAGAAUAAGCACCGGCUAACUUCGUG